GGGUGUAUAGCUCAGUUGGUAGAGCAUUGGGCUUUUAACCUAAUGGUCAACGGUUCAAGUUUUGCUAUACCCA
Molecule: transfer RNA, 73 nt
Filed under: Triticum aestivum (bread wheat)
Lineage: Eukaryota; Viridiplantae; Streptophyta; Magnoliopsida; Poales; Poaceae
Rfam family: tRNA
About the family: Transfer RNA (tRNA) molecules are approximately 80 nucleotides in length.
Source: Rfam by way of RNAcentral